RNAcentral lists this ribosomal RNA (1761 nucleotides) under Bystus ulkei. Its description in RNAcentral is "eukaryotic LSU rRNA". It matches the Rfam family "Eukaryotic large subunit ribosomal RNA", at positions 422 to 1859 of the family's 3401-position model. The record is from RNAcentral. Lineage: Eukaryota; Metazoa; Arthropoda; Insecta; Coleoptera; Endomychidae.
UGAGAAACCCGAAAGAUCGAACGGAGAGAUUCAAUGCGUUCAUGUGUCGAACUUUGACGAAUUUGCGUAUAUGGCGGCAUUCGUGUUUGCCAAAACCUUUCGUUAAAGCGUUCGAUUUUGACGUGUGCACUUCUCUCCCGGUAGAACGUCGCGACCCGUUGGGUGUCGGUCUAAGGCUCGCGGUGGAGCCCGUAAACGCGGUUUACCGUUGUUUGCGGACCCGCGAUGUCCCGGCCGACUCGCUCGACGGUUUACAGAAGGCGCAAGGCCGCGAUUUUAAUUCGCGUUCGGCUCGUAACAAGCGCGUUCGUAGCGUCGACGAUAGGACUUGGCGCCAAUCCCGACCACGAACAGUUGUUAGUUGCGAUGUUCUCGAACAGACCUUGUAGAAUCGCCGAUCUGCGACGCUAUAGCUUUGGGUAAUUUCAGGGCCCGUCUUGAAACACGGACCAAGGAGUCCAGCAUGUGCGCAAGUCAUUGGGAUAUUAUAAACCCGAAGGCGAAAUGAAAGUGAAGGUUAACUUUGCGUUGACCGAGGGAAGAUGGGCGAUUGUUUUGAUAAUCGCCCCGCACUCCCGGGGCGUCUUGUUUUCUUUUUGAAAAGAGACGCACCUAGAGCGUACACGCUGGGACCCGAAAGAUGGUGAACUAUGCCUGGUCAGGACGAAGUCAGGGGAAACCCUGAUGGAGGUCCGUAGCGAUUCUGACGUGCAAAUCGAUCGUCGGAACUGGGUAUAGGGGCGAAAGACUAAUCGAACCAUCUAGUAGCUGGUUCCCUCCGAAGUUUCCCUCAGGAUAGCUGGCGUUCGUAACGAGUCUCAUCCGGUAAAGCGAAUGAUUAGAGGCAUUGGGGUCGAAACGACCUCAACCUAUUCUCAAACUUUAAAUGGGUGAGAUCUCCGGCUUGCUUAAACGUGAAGCCGCGAGAUAAGGAUCAGAGUGCCAAGUGGGCCAUUUUUGGUAAGCAGAACUGGCGCUGUGGGAUGAACCAAACGCCGAGUUAAAGCGCCUAAAUCGACGCUUAUGGGAUACCAUGAAAGGCGUUGGUAACUUAAGACAGCAGGACGGUGGCCAUGGAAGUCGGAAUCCGCUAAGGAGUGUGUAACAACUCACCUGCCGAAGUUACUAGCCCUGAAAAUGGAUGGCGCUGAAGCGUCGUGCUUAUACUCGGCCGUCAGCGGCAAGUGCGGUCUUCUAUUAAUAGAAGGCCAUGAAGCUCUGACGAGUAGGAGGGUCGCGGCGGUGCGCGCAGAAGGGUUGGUCGUGGGACCAUCUGGAGCCGCCGUCGGUGCAGAUCUUGGUGGUAGUAGCAAAUACUCCAGCGAGACCCUGGAGGACUGAUGUGGAGAAGGGUUUCGUGUGAACAGCUGUUGCACACGAGUCAGUCGAUCCUAAGCACUAGGCGAAAGCCGAUGUUAAUGAGGUGUAAUUUUAUGUAUUGAGUUUGUAACACACCCAUAGUGCGAAAGGGAAUCCGGUUCAUAUUCCGGAACCCGGCAGCGGAACCGUAAACCUUCGGGCCCUCUUUGAGUGUUCGUCGGGGUAACCCAAAAGAACCCGGAGACGCCGUCGGGAGAUCCGGGAAGAGUUUUCUUUUCUGCAUGAGCGUUCGAGUUCCAUGGAAUCCUCUAGCAGGGAGAUAUGGUUUGGAACGCGAAGAGCACCGCAGUUGCGGCGGUGUCCGGAUCUUCCCCUCGGACCUUGAAAAUCCGGGAAAGGGCCACGUGGAGGAGUCGCGCCGGCUCGUACCCAUAUCCGCAG